UACGAAGGGUGCAAGCGUUAAUCGGAAUUACUGGGCGUAAAGCGCGCGUAGGUGGUUUGUUAAGUUGAAUGUGAAAUCCCCGGGCUCAACCUGGGAACUGCAUCCAAAACUGGCAAGCUAGAGUACAGUAGAGGGUGGUGGAAUUUCCUGUGUAGCGGUGAAAUGCGUAGAUAUAGGAAGGAACACCAGUGGCGAAGGCGGCCACCUGGACUGAUACUGACACUGAGGUGCGAAAGCGUGGGGAGCAAACAGG
This 253-nucleotide ribosomal RNA is filed under the name uncultured bacterium. RNAcentral's name for it is "partial 16S ribosomal RNA". It matches the Rfam family "Bacterial small subunit ribosomal RNA", at positions 524 to 776 of the family's 1533-position model. The record is from RNAcentral.